This 1392-nucleotide long non-coding RNA is filed under the name Homo sapiens (human). Its description in RNAcentral is "HSALNT0228980". The record is from RNAcentral. Lineage: Eukaryota; Metazoa; Chordata; Mammalia; Primates; Hominidae.
GUUUAUUAUCUCACAUAACAAAAAGGGUGAAGGGACGAUGGUCCAUUUAGUAGUCUGCCUCCUCAAGGACCCAGGCUUCUUCUAGUUUCCCUGAUAGCCCUCAGUUAACUCCUCUCAUGGUUCCAAGCUGUCUGCCACAGUUCCAGUCAUUACUUGCAUCAGAAUAGAGACUGUUUCUUCCACGUGUGUCUCUUCUUUUCUUUUCUUCCUUUUUUUAAAAUUUUUUUAUAGAGACAGGAUCUCGCUCUGUUGCCCAGGCUGAAGUGCAGUGGUGCAAUCAUAGCUCACUGCAGCCUCAAACUCCUGGGCUCAAGCAAUCCUCCCAUUUCAGCCUCCUGAGUAGCUGGGACUACAGGUGUGCACUACCGUGCCCAGCUAAUGUUUGUUUGUUUGUUUGCUUGUUUAUUGCAGCCUUGGUAUGUUGCUCGAACUGGCCUUGAGCUCUUGGACUCAGGUGACCCUCCCUCCUGGGCCUCCCAAGGGCUCGGAUUACAGGCAUGAGUCUCCACACCCUGCGUCUCUUCUUUUCAAUGAGAAAAAUCUUCCCAGAUGCCCCACAGUAGAAGUUUCAAUGUCUCAUAGCCAGAAUUGUUACAUAAUCCUUUGCCUAACUACAUCACUGACAAGGGAACGGGGCAUGAAGACCAGUUUAGAAUAAUCAGUAUGUGCUUCUGAGUCAUGCAGGAGAGGACCAUUUGCCCUGAGCAAGUGACUGUACAGAAAGAACGAGAACACCUGAAAUCAGGGGAACCAACGGUAUCUGCAACAUACUACAAAGCAGGUGUACAAAACAUGAACGUUCUUCUUUGUCCGUAAAUAUCUUGCUCAUGUGCCCUUGUCCCACUGAUGUCAGGGGUGGAAAAAUCCUAACUUCCAGUUAAGGUAACUUGGUUACUUCUAGUUCAAAACAGUCUCUCUAGUGCUGGUUCAAUUUCUUUUGGAUAAAUAUUCAAUCCAAUUCAAGGUUCAAAUUCUCUACCAGGGCCAUCUCUCUCUUGUCAAGGGUUGGUUCCUCAUUCUCUGUCUCAAGAUGGUAUGGCAUCCAGGUCCUCAGAAAAGCCUACACUUCCUCCUAAUGAUGGGGCAGGGGCCCACAUAUGUCCCACUGUGCUGUCUCCUGGACCUUCAGUAUUCUCUGCAGAAAUGUCCUUUGUCCUGCCCGAUCACUGAGACUUCUGCUGGCCCCAGCUGCAUGACCUUAUGAAGCACCUUCGUUGUCUGGGGUAAAUGCCUGAGGUUCGUCGUCUUACGCCAAGGAAAUCGAGGACGAGGACACGCAAGAAGUGAGUUUAAGAGAAGAGGUUUAACAGAGAGAAAGGGAAAAGCUCUCUCUUCUGCGGAGAGAGGGGACACCUAAGUGGGUCUUUGGGUUUUGCGGUGAAAUGCAUGUGC